This is a long non-coding RNA of Rosa rugosa (rugosa rose), 693 nucleotides long. RefSeq lists it as uncharacterized. Lineage: Eukaryota; Viridiplantae; Streptophyta; Magnoliopsida; Rosales; Rosaceae. The record is from RefSeq and is a predicted model, not a curated record. The transcript has 5 exons.
UCUUUUGCCCUUCCAUUCUCUGCCUUUUUACUUGAGUACCUCAGACAGGUGUUCGUCUCCUGUGGGACUCCGCGUGGCUCUGUUUCUUUGCUGCACGAACAGAGAGCAUAGAGAGUUCAAGAACGAUCGAGAGAGAGAGAGAGGUGAUAUUCAGAGGCUUUGCGUCUUUGCUCCAGAGAAGUACAGAGAGGUGAAGAACAACAAUAGGGAGAGAAGACCCAUUUCAAUUCGAUCCGUUUCGACUUCCGCUAAGCUACGCUCUCUUUGGUUAUGUUUUCAGAUGGUGAUGGGAGUCUGAAUGAAAGUGAUCAGAAAAGGCUACGUCCUCCAGUCCUAUUUAGAGUGAGAAGCCACUAGCAAUCUACUCCAGAAGCAAGGUAACUCUCUUUGAUACCUGCUCAUACCUAUUUGAUGGCGUAUCCUCCAGAAGCAACUCAUGCAUCAAAGUUGCAAUGGACUUUGUCUCACCUGAAAAUAUCGGCGAGUGCUUUCACUUGAUAGAAGCAUUCCGUACACUUCCGGAAAAUCAUAGGGCUAAAGCGGACAAAUUGGAGGAACUGGGGAGUUUGGUUUCUCUGAAAUGGCAUUGGCUGAAUCAUACGCUGAACAAAUGGAUUUACCAGAGUUAGGUUAUGAAUAUCGAGCCAUCGUUGGGAUACCUUCAGAGCAGUUUAAACAUCUUAUCAUACAUCU